UUGAGCGACGAGGGCUUUUGUGUGUGUGUGUGUGUGUGUGUGUGUAUAUGUGUGUGUGUGUGUGUGUGUGUCUCGUGGAUCGCCAGUCACACACGCGCUUAUUCACGUUUCCUGUGGCUUUUUUCGGUGCUGAAGAAAAAGAGCGUCGGUUGAGGCGUUUAUCUGUGCAGGUGCCGCUCCGUGGGAGAAAUUAUUAUUAUUAAUAAUAAUAAUAAUAAUCAUAUCGAGGAAUGGCUGCUGAAGUGAAUGGCAGCUCUGCUCCUGCAAAAGAAGAAGAGGAGCCUAUGGACGUCUCAGCAGCGCACACAGAGAACUACCAGACUCUCAUUGAUGCUGGACUUCCUCAGAAAGUAGCUGAGAGCUUGGACAACAUCUUCCAGACUGGUUUGGUGGCCUAUGCUGACCUUGAUGAGAGAGCGAUCGAUGCUCUGCGUGAGUUUAAUGAAGAAGGAGCUCUGUCUGUAUUGCAACAGUUUAAAGAGAGUGACCUGUCUCAUGUCCAGAAUAAGAGCGCUUUCCUGUGUGGUGUCAUGAAGACCUACAGACAGAGAGAAAAGCAAGGCAGCAAAAUACAGGAAUCCACAAAAGGCCCUGAUGAGUCCAAAAUAAAGGCUUUGCUUGAGAGGACAGGAUAUACCCUGGAUGUCACUACAGGCCAGAGGAAAUAUGGCGGCCCACCCCCAGAGGCAGUUUUCUCAGGCACGCAGCCUGGUAUUGGCACCGAGGUGUUUGUAGGAAAAAUUCCUCGGGACUUGUAUGAAGAUGAGCUGGUUCCGCUGUUUGAGAAGGCAGGGCCCAUAUGGGACCUGAGGUUAAUGAUGGACCCUCUUUCCGGACAGAACCGCGGCUAUGCGUUCAUCACCUUCUGCAGCAAAGAUGCUGCACAGGAGGCUGUCAAACUGUGUGAUAAUUAUGAGAUCAGGCCAGGGAAGUAUUUGGGUGUCUGCAUCUCGGUAGCCAACAACCGACUGUUUGUGGGCUCCAUUCCAAAGAACAAGACCAGGGAGAGCAUCCUGGAGGACUUUGGCAAAGUGACAGAGGGUCUACAGGAAGUGAUUCUGUACACGCAAGCCGAUGACAAGAAGAAGAACCGAGGUUUCUGUUUCCUAGAGUAUGAGGACCACAAGUCAGCAGCACAGGCCCGUCGUCGACUCAUGAGCGGCAAAAUUAAGGUGUGGGGCAACCCCGUGACUGUGGAGUGGGCUGACCCGGUCGCUGAGCCUGACCCUGAGGUCAUGGCCAAGGUGAAGGUGCUGUUUGUCCGUAAACUAGCCACUUCUGUCACAGAGGAGCUGUUAGAGAAGACCUUCUCCCAGUUUGGGAAACUGGAACGUGUUAAGAAACUGAAAGACUAUGCCUUCGUUCACUUUGAGGAGCGGGAUGCUGCUGUUAAGGCCAUGGAAGAGAUGAAUGGGAAAGAGCUUGGGGGAGAGGAGAUUGAGAUUGUCCUGGCUAAGCCUCCAGAUAAGAAGAGGAAAGAGCGGCAAGCUGCCCGACAGACCAGCAGAAACACAGGUUAUGAUGAUUAUUACUACUACCCCCCACCUCGCAUGCCACCCCCGGGCCGUGGGCGUGGCCGAGGUGGUCGUGGCGGUUAUUCUUACCCACCCGAUUACUACGGCUAUGAAGAAUACUACGACGACUACUACGGCUACGAUUACCAUGACUACCGUGGUGGCUAUGAUGAUCCCUACUAUGGCUAUGAAGAAGUGUACCCAAUAAGGGGACGCGGCAACCGCGGGAGCCGUGGAGCUCCGCCCCCUCCCAGAGCACGCGGGGUUCCCCCGGCUCGCGGCAGAGGUGGCUAUGCGCCGAGGGGAGGUGCUCCCAUGGGGGCAGGCCGAGGAGGACGUGGAGGAGGAAGAGGUGGCCCUUUUCAAUCGCCCAGGGGUGGACGUGGCACCAGGGGUGCCCGUGGGAACCGCGGCGGCAAUGUAGGCGGAAAGAGAAAGGCAGACGUGUUUAACCAACCGGAUUCAAAACGACGCCAGACGACCAAUCAGCAGAACUGGGGGUCGCAGCCAAUCGCUCAGCAGCCGCUACAGCAAGGGGGCGACUACUCCAGCAACUACUACAGCAACGACACCCUGGAGUUCUCCCAGGAUUCCUAUGGGCAGCAGUGGAAGUAGACGACACACACAUCACCCCCCGUAAAAAAGGUAUCGGAGCGAGAGAGAGCCGUUGCUAGCUUGAGGAACACACCAGAACUGUGUUCUUCUCCAGCAGGGGAAAACUACGGAGUUCUCCAACAGUGGGACACUGUGUGCUGCAUCUAUCCACUUUAUAUCAGGAGCCAAGUGUUUCCUUGUGGGUCCCAACCUCGUACCUGAGUAGUCCCUGGCUUUUCAGAGACAUCAAGCUGCACGGAACUUCUCUCCUUGUGUCUUUGUGUUUGUAUGUGUGUGUGCACACCUGAUUUUUCUGCUCAUCGGGUUCACCCUGCUGCACAGUUACAAAGCCCAGAGAGAUAACAGCAGGCUGUGGUGCUGAAGAUGAUGAGGCCUGUGUUGCAUGUCUCACGGGAGCAGUAGAGAGUAUCUACAGAAACGGGCAGGUGUCAGAGGAAACUAAAGGAUGCCCACACGGACAUGGGGAGAACAUGCGAAACUCUGCACAGACAGUUUCUUAGUAAUGUGACCGUGUCUAUUGUUCAGUGCGCUAUACAAACAAAAUAGAAUUGGAAAUUGAAUUAACACGAUUUGCAUCAUUUUAGGGGGUGCCGAGUUAUGUGCCCCCCCUAAUGCUUGGCUCAAGACUUUAAGACCCCAUUAUCAAAUACUUUCAUUAAAUCACGUCAAACUCAGGACAUGCGUUUUAUUAUAGCACGUGAACUUUUCACGUUAUCUAGAAUUCUCACUGUAAUGUAGCGUAGCAGACAUUUCCGUGCAAGAGCUCACAUCACACUUCUCACGGUGACAAAACUCUGUUUUGCGUAUGUUUUGUGUAUGAAAAUGAUUCAGCUAAACCUUGUUUUAGGAAUUACUUUCGGUGUCAUGAGGACGUAGAAAAAAAAAAAAUAAAACCUUGAUUGUUUCGUGAUCAUUUUUAAGGCACAGUCUACCAUCAACAAUCAAACAAUCUUGCUAUGUUAAGAACUUCAUAAAAUACCUUUAACAAUUUCACAGAAAUGAUUAAAAUUGCAUGUUGAUAACAGGGGGAAAUGACACCUUAUAUCUUUUGAAUACUGAUCUCCUUUUUUUUUCCUCUUACUGAAAUAAACCUCCAGCAGGCUUCAUCUUUCACCUCAUUAUAGUGUUUUCAGAGUCUUCAUAAUUGAACAGUUAAUAACUUCAGCUUGAUAGGUGAGACUUAAAGUUAAAACGCAGUGAUGCUCAUAUCUAAGUUCCUGUUAACACACUUAGCAGUUUUUGACCAUAUAGUAUACAGUUAUAGAAGCGAAAUGAUUUAUAGUUGCACUAUCUACUGUAACCCAGAUGAGGAUGGGUUCCUCUCAAGGCUUCUUCCUUGUGUCGUCUCGGAGUUUUUCCUUCCCACCGUCACCUCUGUUUUGCUC
RNA transcript from Pangasianodon hypophthalmus (striped catfish), 3514 nucleotides. It is a transcript of the gene named heterogeneous nuclear ribonucleoprotein R, with no coding region annotated. The transcript has 15 exons. The record is from RefSeq and is a predicted model, not a curated record. NCBI's taxonomy places the organism in Eukaryota, Metazoa, Chordata, Actinopteri, Siluriformes, Pangasiidae.